AGGCGCGUAGCUCAGGGGUAGAGCGCUUCCUUGACAUGGAAGAGGUCGCUGGUUCGAAACCUGCCGUGCCUACCA
RNAcentral lists this transfer RNA (75 nucleotides) under Myxococcales bacterium. RNAcentral describes it as "tRNA-Val". It matches the Rfam family "tRNA". Rfam says of the family: Transfer RNA (tRNA) molecules are approximately 80 nucleotides in length. Their secondary structure includes four short double-helical elements and three loops (D, anti-codon, and T loops). Lineage: Bacteria; Pseudomonadati; Myxococcota; Myxococcia; Myxococcales. RNAcentral also lists the same sequence under 1 other name. The record is from RNAcentral.